Molecule: long non-coding RNA, 523 nt
Organism: Tupaia belangeri chinensis (Chinese tree shrew)
Lineage: Eukaryota; Metazoa; Chordata; Mammalia; Scandentia; Tupaiidae
Exons: 4
Source: RefSeq, a predicted model, not a curated record
GGCCGGACGCGGGAGCCCGGACCGCCGGGUCUGAGGGAGGAGGCCUGGGGGCGCGGACUUCCGGCUCUGAGGGAGGAGCUGGGGGGCUGAGCCACGGCUCUGAGGGAGGAGGAGCUGGGACACUGAACUCCAGUUCCGUUUUUAUCGGCAGAAAUGAGGCUCUCCAGUCAUAGCCAGGUAAUAGGAGUCCUUAUUGCAGGUAACUGCGGGAGGACUCACGGUUCUCAGAGACCCUGCAGCCCUGAGUGUAGGGAGAAGGGACCUUAUGAAGACAAAACUCACAUUCUUUUCCGCGUUGAUAUGGUUUUGCCAUGAAGCACCUGUGCUCACCAGACACAGAGAGGGAAAGGCACAUGCGUUGGCGAAGAAACAGAGUGAUGGAGUGAGAGAAAAUGAGAAAUCACCCUACAGCAGGGAUGGCACACCUCAGUCCUUUUGAGGUCCCACCACAUUCCAGGAAGAAGAAAGUGGUUUUCAUGCCCCAAAGCUUCUAUCUAGACAAAGAAUCUCCUGAUUUGGUACC